AAAGGUUCUUCAACUGUUUAUUUUCACAAACAUUAGAAAUUUACAGCAAAAAUUGAAAGGUAUUGGACCUAUUUUCCAUGUUUUGAAAAGGUUUAGGGGCCUAAAACGCAUUUUCCGUAGAUUUAUUCUUCGUAUUGACUAUUGAGCGUUGCGCUUUCUUUUAAGUCGCCUCGUUUUGCUAAUUGGGUUGUCUUUAGUAUUGGAAAAUAGCUUCUGAUUUUGCCAAAAAUUGCUUGAUGUUGGAGUUAAAGGCGAGAAACUAUUUUAAUCCCUUUUUAGCUUUAAUGUUUUGUGCUUUGAUUUCUCUGCUGCUUUCUCUUUUGUUUUUGUUUUUGCUUUUUACUUUUAAUUGAACUGAAGUUGGUGUUUGCUUUCUCUUUCGAUUUGCGAGAGAUUUGUGUUAAUGACUAUUUUGGGUUGGAAAAUAGGUGUUAACUUUGUUGGUAUGUGGCGUUAUCUUGGUUGAACUGUUAAUGGCUUUUCCCAACUUUCGGGUUUAAAAGGCGUCUUCUUAUCAAAUCAAGCAUAGGAAUGGUCUCAGUUUUGGGAUUUCUGAAAUCUUCUUUUGUAUUAAGGUUUGCUUGAAGUUUUUGUUGAUGAUUGGUACGUAAGUGUUACGUCUUUGUGAAUUGGGCAACUGGGAUUUAUAAAUUUGACACCUAAAUUUUGGAUAUUAUGGUCUCUAAUUUAUGAAAAUUUUCCCCAUUUUCUCUUGUACGACUUUGAAUGAUUUUCUCGGGCUUAGCCUCCAACGUAUUACCCAUACUUUGUUGCAACCAGUUUACUUGAAUUUCUGCUUGUUAACAAUUUUCGAAUUCUUUUCUCCAGCUCAUUCUAGCUUCUCGAUUUGGGGCUUGGUUCAUCAUCAUGCAGUUCUAAAAGGUGAAUUCAGUUUAAAGAUUGAUAUGUCGGUCUGUUAAGUUCUAAUAUUCUGCAGUGAUUUAGGCUUCUUUAACUUUUCUGAGAUUCAUAGUAAUUAUUAACUCCGCUUUUUGUGAGGGGAGAGUUCUUUGGUAUGAGGAGAGUGGGAAGUGUUAAGAGUUAGAGACGCAUUUUCUAAUUAUAGCAAUUAAUUAUGCAAUUUGCGAUUAUGCUUUGUUAACCAUCUCAUCCAAAACUUAAGUGGUUAGACAGGGUUACAUGUAUUCAUAUAAAUCUUGUCUUCAAUGUGCUCCCAACCUGCUGACCAAAUUCAUUUUCUGAUUAAAUUUCUAACACAGUGUACAAUUUUGAUAAACAUGUAGCGGGAAAACUUGCAUUAGCCAUAUAAAUCUGGUCUUCAUAUAUCUUGCAUGCCACACAGCUUAUAAAAUGUUGCAAGGUUUCAUUUAAGGUUCAACUUGGAGUGGCUAGGUUUUUCAAGAAACUUGUUCUUUUGUUUUUUUGCAGGGUAAUUUCUAAGAUCGUCAUGGAUUCCCCUCAGUCAGUUGUGUCACCAUUCAAGAGUUCUUCAAUUUUUGCCGAGCCCGAGAAACAGAACACCAAUCUUCUUGCAGAGAACCCUAGCCACUUAUCAAGGGGAUUUGCU
RNAcentral lists this long non-coding RNA (1528 nucleotides) under Olea europaea subsp. europaea. The record is from RNAcentral. Lineage: Eukaryota; Viridiplantae; Streptophyta; Magnoliopsida; Lamiales; Oleaceae.